RNAcentral lists this non-coding RNA (105 nucleotides) under Salisediminibacterium selenitireducens. RNAcentral's name for it is "Bacillus selenitireducens TPP sequence". It matches the Rfam family "TPP riboswitch aptamer (THI element)". From Rfam's summary of the family: Vitamin B(1) in its active form thiamin pyrophosphate (TPP) is an essential coenzyme that is synthesised by coupling of pyrimidine and thiazole moieties in bacteria. The previously detected thiamin-regulatory element, thi box was extended, resulting in a new, highly conserved RNA secondary structure, the THI element, which is widely distributed in eubacteria and also occurs in some archaea. The record is from RNAcentral. Lineage: Bacteria; Bacillati; Bacillota; Bacilli; Caryophanales; Bacillaceae.
AUGAAUCACAAGGGGAGUCCGGCACGGGCUGAGAGGAAGCAGGAUGCGCUUCGACCCUCGAACCUGUAAGUUCAAACUUGCGUAGGGAUGUGAACCGGAUCAAUC